GUGUGACGAUGCAGAUGACGAUAACGACGACGAUGAUAAUCAUCAUCAUCAUCAUCAUCAUCUAUGCAU
RNAcentral lists this microRNA precursor (69 nucleotides) under Bigelowiella natans CCMP2755. Its description in RNAcentral is "miRNA EPrBNAG00000013400". Lineage: Eukaryota; Cercozoa; Chlorarachniophyceae. The record is from RNAcentral.